AAAGGAUAGGGCAGGGGCAGGGAGGAUAGGUUGAAAGGUACAUUGAGAGGAGAGAAGGAUGCCUACACCACCUCCUUUACAGUCGAGUCUAGGAGUAUGGGAGAACUGUAGACCACUGAAACAUAAAGAAGCAGGAGUAGCGGUAUCGGAUGGGGACAGCCAGGUCUCAGUGAGUGCCAGUAUUGUGAGUGAGUUACCGUGAGAAACCAUG
This is a non-coding RNA of Pelobates cultripes (western spadefoot toad), 211 nucleotides long. The record is from the annotation of a GenBank genome assembly. NCBI's taxonomy places the organism in Eukaryota, Metazoa, Chordata, Amphibia, Anura, Pelobatidae.